CUAGACAACUUGCAUGAUGUGUAUGAAUAAAUUCUAUUUAGGCGGCUAUGGCAGGAGAAGCAAAAAGAUUUGGAUUGGGGGAGACAAGGUACGCUGUGAUGCUUGUAUGGACUACAAUACAGGCAAGCUUUCUUCUCGGAAUCAAUAGGAGUUAUCUUCUGUGCCUCAUCUUAGCUAUCCGGUAUCUUAAUUGCGGUUCCACUAUCAGUUACAGAGAUAUUGGUGGUUAAUUUCUACAAGGAAAGUUUCAAACCAGAGACAGGUGUGUUUCUUGUACUCUCUCUAUUGUGAUGUGCGUCAUAUUUGUAUGGUGAAAUGAAGGAGAACAAGAAGACAGCAAAACCCAGAAACAGAAAUUACUCAAAUUCUUGAUCCAUGAUAGCAACGUGCAUUUCUUUGAUAUUUACCAUAUAGGAAUCCGGAUUGUGAAUGUGCGAGCAUAGCUGUUACACCAUCGUUGAGCUAAUAAUGUAAUGUAGGGAACUUGUUCUGCUAUUUGAUACGGUUAAAGGAGCAAUGGAUUCCAGCUUGCAUUCGUUGUCAAUUUUUUGUUUUACGCUUUAAUGUAAUUAAGGGCUAAAAGAAAUUAUUAUUAUUUUUUUUUCAAUCAAAAAAGACAACCAAGGAGUCUCAUCUGGUUAGACUUCAAAAAUAUUGUACCCUAGCUUUUUCAUUUGAUGUCCACCAUGAUCGCAGUUACACCCUUCUAAUCCAUCAUGAUAAUUUUUGUUUAGCUGGAUAUUCUUUUCUUUUUGCUGAAACAUGACAAACAGAAUAAUUUACCCCAAAAAAAAAAAAAAAAAAAAAAAAAAAAAAAGAAUAA
Molecule: long non-coding RNA, 823 nt
Organism: Ziziphus jujuba (common jujube)
Lineage: Eukaryota; Viridiplantae; Streptophyta; Magnoliopsida; Rosales; Rhamnaceae
Exons: 2
Source: RefSeq, a predicted model, not a curated record